CAGCAGCCGCGGUAAUACGUAGGGUGCGAGCGUUAAUCGGAAUUACUGGGCGUAAAGCGUGCGCAGGCGGUUGUGUAAGACAGGUGUGUAAUCCCCGGGCUUAACCUGGGAACUGCGCUUGUGACUGCACAGCUAGAGUAUGGCAGAGGGGGGUGGAAUUCCACGUGUAGCAGUGAAAUGCGUAGAGAUGUGGAGGAACACCGAUGGCGAAGGCAGCCCCCUGGGCCAAUACUGACGCUCAUGCACGAAAGCGUGGGGAGCAAACAGGAUUAGAUACCCCCGUAGUCCCUGUCUCUUAUAC
Molecule: ribosomal RNA, 301 nt
Filed under: uncultured bacterium
Lineage: Bacteria
Description: partial 16S ribosomal RNA
Rfam family: Bacterial small subunit ribosomal RNA
Source: RNAcentral